GCAAGUCGAGCGCUCUCUUCGGAGGGAGCGGCGGACGGGUUAGUAACGCGUGGGAACAUACCCUUCUCUAAGGAAUAGCCACUGGAAACGGUGAGUAAUACCUUAUACGCCCUUCGGGGGAAAGAUUUAUCGGAGAAGGAUUGGCCCGCGUUAGAUUAGAUAGUUGGUGGGGUAAUGGCCUACCAUGGCUACGAUGUCUAGCUGGUCUGAGAGGAUGAUC
Molecule: ribosomal RNA, 220 nt
Filed under: uncultured bacterium
Lineage: Bacteria
Description: partial 16S ribosomal RNA
Rfam family: Bacterial small subunit ribosomal RNA
Source: RNAcentral